RNAcentral lists this ribosomal RNA (522 nucleotides) under uncultured bacterium. RNAcentral's name for it is "bacterial SSU rRNA". It matches the Rfam family "Bacterial small subunit ribosomal RNA", at positions 355 to 892 of the family's 1533-position model. The record is from RNAcentral.
UGGGGAAUAUUGGACAAUGGGCGAAAGCCUGAUCCAGCCACGCCGCGUGAGURAUGAAGGCCUUAGGGUUGUAAAGCUCUGUCGUGAGGGAAGAAUAACUGACGGUACCUCACAAGAAAGCACCGGCUAACUCCGUGCCAGCAGCCGCGGUAAUACGGAGGGUGCAAGCGUUGCUCGGAAUUACUGGGCGUAAAGCGCACGCAGGCGGUUUGUCAGGUCGGAUGUGAAAGCCCGGGGCUCAACCCCGGAACUGCAUUCGAAACCGGCAGACUUGAGUUCGAGAGAGGGUGGUGGAAUUCCUGGUGUAGAGGUGAAAUUCGUUGAUAUCAGGAGGAACACCGGUGGCGAAGGCGACCACCUGGCUCGAUACUGACGCUCAUGUGCGAAAGCGUGGGGAGCAAACAGGAUUAGAUACCCUGGUAGUCCACGCCGUAAACGUUGAAUGCUAGGUGUCAGGGGUAUCACCCCCUUGGUGCCGGAGUUAACGCAUUAAGCAUUCCGCCUGGGGAGUACGGUCGCAAG